This 1295-nucleotide long non-coding RNA is filed under the name Salmo salar (Atlantic salmon). RNAcentral's name for it is "lncRNA (ENSSSAG00000093156.1)". Lineage: Eukaryota; Metazoa; Chordata; Actinopteri; Salmoniformes; Salmonidae. The record is from RNAcentral.
CUUUCCCAGCUGCAGGAGUUGGAGGCUUUAUACCCAACAAGGACUAUGCCCCAAAUGGCAUCCUAAUCCCUUUUUAAUAGGGCUCUGGUUAAAAGUAGUGCAUUAUAUUAGGAAUAGGGAGCCAUUUUGGACACAGCCAUGAUCAGAUAAAGGUUCUGCUGCCACUGAUCCUCUUCAGCAGUAGCCAUUCUGAUAAGGAGAUCAUCGUAAUGACACAACCUCCGGAGUCCAUUUGUCGCUCACUCCGAAGUUUCGGAACAGCAGGAAGUGGCAAGUAGGAAAUGGGGUGUCCGUUUUUUAUACUGUUGUGCCAGGAUGUCCCCUAUAGGCUACAGACAGUAAGAAAUCUGAAAACAACACGAUAGAUUUUACACUGCAACAUUAACACGAGCUGACACAGAGGAUUACACGCAGACAGCUGGAAUGCCCGGGCCUUUUUGUCUAGCGUGGAUCUCAGCCAAAAGCCUUCGGUCGGAGGCCAAGAGAGACCUGGGAAAAAGACUUCUCCUUGGAAAUAAACACAAGAGUGGCCAAGAGGAAGGAAUGUGCCACUGGUGGACAAAUGGAGCCGGGAGGGACUGUGCAAUGACCGGACAGCAUCAGGGCACCAUGCCGGACAGAAGGCUGCUCGGCAGGCUGGGCUGGGCUGGGACACUGUGUCUGAGACCUCCGACCUCCAACCAGUGGACCAACAACCACUCACACUAUGAGAAUGCUUUGUCUAUCUGUCUGUGCAAAGUCAUUACGAUCAUUUCACUCACAUAUUGAUCUCCUCAAUUCCUACAGUAUUCAGUGAAAACAAGAAUGGACUACUGUAAGAGACAAGCAUAUUCCACGUCUUCAAAUAUGAAACAACAAAAGGCAUGUAUCAUUGGUCGGAUAAUAUUGGCAUGAAAUAGUUCCCUGUGAGAUAAAAAAUUAUAUUACGUAAACACUGCAUCUCCAAAAUAAAAAUGUAUAAUAAAAUGUGAAUAAAAUAGAUGCAUGACAUAUCAAUAUGAUAUUAGGAAACAAUCUUGAAGUACCGCUAGCCUAUAGAAACAACUGAGUGGGAGAACAGAAGAACUGCGCAUAGUGGGAGUCGAUGAAUGAGUUUGAAUGAGGUGAGCUUUGUGUGUGUGUCCAUGCGUGUGGCCCUGUGUGUGUCUGUGUGUGUCCCUGUGUCUGUGUGUGUCCCUGUGUCUGUGUGUGUCCCUGUGUCUGUGUGUGUCCCUGUGUCUGUGUGUGUCCCUGUGUCUGUGUGUGUCCCUGUGUCUGUGUGUGUCCCUGUGUCUGUGUGUGUCCCUGUGUCUGUG